This 4448-nucleotide long non-coding RNA is filed under the name Daucus carota (carrot). RNAcentral's name for it is "long non-coding RNA (DCAR_LNC003329)". Lineage: Eukaryota; Viridiplantae; Streptophyta; Magnoliopsida; Apiales; Apiaceae. The record is from RNAcentral.
UUCUGUAAUCAAUGUGACAGAUAUUAUCUCGAUCCUGAGGUGUACGUGUCUCCCGUCUAAAAUUUCCUCUUCAUUUUCUCUUACCCGGCCACUAGCUUUGAAAAUUCUGCUUCUCUAUGUUUUCAUCCUCGACCCCACUCCCCCUCUAAGUUUAGGGUUUCUGAAAUUAUACAAUCUCUCAUCUGUAACUGUACUGCUUCUCUCAAGUGUUUAACUGUUUAAACUAUUCUCACAAGUCAAAGAUUACUUUCCCUUCCCCUUAAUCACUCCUCUCAGUUCAUUUUGCUCUCUUACUUUCCAUUCUCUUGCCCUGUGCUUGUGUUUUCUGAGUUUUGUUCAUUCUCUUCAUUUUCUGGAGUUUGCUCUCUUUCAACAUCUCACUCAAGUGUUCAAUUGCUUAAACUGUAAGCAAACAACACUCUUAGCUGGUACUGAAGAGUUUGCUCUCACUAAAGGUACUCCUCGCACUUGAUUUUCUUUCCUCUUUAUAAGACCUAGAUCUUACUCGGUCCGUGUGAAUUUUUGUUCUGGUACUUUUAUUGAGUUUGCUCCUUCAGGUGAAGUCCACAGGAUGAUACUGUUUAUUUUAAGCGUAAAGGAAGCCCAAUUCAAUACUAUAGUUGCGUGGUCCUUAGUUUUUGAUUAUACUAGCAUUUAACCCGUGCGAGUAUAGAAUUUGUAAUUUAUUAAUUAUAAUUUAAAUUUUAACAUCAUCUUAUUAAUAUUUUUGUAUUAAUGAAUUGGAUUUUAACCAGAUUAUAUUUACUAACUGAUUACCUUUUUUGGACGACUAAAAAUUAUAUCAAUAUCGAUUUAUUAUAAUAUAAUAUAUAAAUUAUAUUUAAAAGAAUAAUGGUGGAGUUUUUAUCUUGUACUACAUCACACGUGUUUGUAAUUUGAUCGGUAUAAAACUCUUUAAUAUUGUAAGAGUAAGAGAAGUUUACAUGUGACACACUUGUAGUUAGAAAGAAGAUGACCAAACCAAAAUUUUGUCCGACAAUAAAUUAAACGUAUGUUGGCCUAUUAUAUAGUACUAGCCUUAAACCCGUGCAAAGCACGGGCGACUAUAUAAUUUUGAAUUUAUUAUAUAUAAUUUAAAUUGAAAUGUCAUUUUAUUAGUGUUUUAAUAUUGAUGAAUUGAAGUUUUAUUCAAUUAUAUUCACUCUUAUAAAUUUAGCUUUAACAAUAUUUUUUUGUAUUGUAAAUUAUUAGUAUAAAUAAUAAAAUCUUUUUUAUUUUUUAACUAAAUAUAAAUUAUAUUUGAAAAAAUAAUGAUGGAGUGUUUAUCUUGUAGUACAUCACAUGUGUUUGUAAUUUAAACUUUAUAAAACUGUUUAAUGAUGUAAGACAAGAGAACUCUACAUGUUGGACUCUAGAGACUUCUAGUUAUAACGGACAUGACCAUACCAAAAUUUUGUACGACUACAAAUUAUACCCAUGUUGGCUUAUUACAGUAUAGUAUAGACUAGCCUUUAACCCGUGCAAAGCACGGGCGCUUAUAUAACUCGUAAUUUAUUAAUUAUAAUUUAAAUCUUAACACCAUUUUAUUAGUAUUUUAGUAUUAAUAAUUUGGAUUUUAGUUAAAUUAUAUUAACCACUGAUUAUAUCUUCUAACGGAAAUUUAACUUUCACAAUUUAUUAUCUAUCUAUAAUUAUUUUCUGAUAUUAAUAUGUGAUAGUUUAUUAUUCAAUUAAUUUUAAAUCAAAAUUUUCAUAUUUCAUAUAUCUUCAUAUUUUACGUAAUGGUUCGUGUUUGUAAUGAAAUAGAACACGUUAGAGUUAAAUUUCGAGUAGAAUACGUUAUGAUUAAAAAGUAGCGUCUCUAAUUAUUUAUAUGUAUUUUAGACAAAAGAUAUUCAAAAUUGUAUAUUUAUAAUUAGUUAUACAUUUAUCUAUAAUUUUUUUUAAUAUUAAUAUAUGUUAUUAACAGUAGUUUCAUCUUUUUCAACUAAUUAUAAAUUAUAUUUAAAAAGAUAUUAAUAUACAUAAGGAGUGUUUUUAGUAUAUGAAACUGUUUAAUAGCUAUCUACAUAUACCAAACCAAAAUUUUGUACGACUACAAAUUAUACCUAUGUUGGCUUUUUAUAGUAUAGUAUAGAUAGAUUGAUAUAAGGAUAUUAUAAUAUCUUUCACCGAAAUAUUAUUAUUUUUAUAUUUGUCGAUUUUUUUCAGUGAACCUGUAAUAGUAUUAUAUGCUGUGACGCUGACAGCUGUUUAUAUAUAUAUUAAAAUAAUUUUUUUAUCAAAUGUUAUUGCACAGUUGCGCAUACACCAAACAGUUCCUGUAUUAGUUUGGAGUCCUGAAUAAUUAGUAUUAAUAAUAUAUCUGUAAGAAAACAUGCAUACAAUUAUACAAAAGGUGAAUUAUAUAAAUAAAUGUUUUGUUUUUGGUUAUUGUAGGGGUUUAUAAUAUUUAAAAAACUAAAUUUUAGUCGACGCUCAAAGACAAACAAUUCAAAUAUGUUAUCAAAUGGAUCCCAGCUUUGGAUUGCUUAGCUUGUAAAGCUCACGAAUUGAACUUAGGGCUUUUUUUAUUCACGUUUUCAAUCUUAUUUCCAAAAAUACUAUCUUAUCCAAUCUUAUUUUCAAAAAUACUACCUUCUCUAAAAUAUUUUCAAAAAUACUGUGGUUGCAUAUGCAACCACCGUAUUUUUGGAAAAUAUUUUCAAAAAAGUAGUAUUUUUGAAAAUUUUUUAGAGAUUUGAAAAUAAGAUUGGAUAAGGUAGUAUUUUUGAAAAUAAUAUUGAAAAAACAAUAUACAGGAUAAUUCCCCUUGAACUUAGCUGUAAUAUUUUUCAUGACAACAUAUAUUUGUAACUUGUAUCCUCGUAUAUUUCAAUAUGAAUACACACUAUAGUUUAAAGAGUCAGAAUGUUUAAGUUUAACUUAUUCUAUUCUAUUCGAACUUUAUAGGUAAAGAAUUUGACAUUUUGGGUUGAAUUUAAGCUAAAUUAGAUUUCUAAGCUCAUGAAAAUGGAGUCCGAAUUUCUUGGCAUGGUAAAGUUCAAACUUUAGUUUGAUAGUGAUGACUAAAAAAGUUAAUUUUAAUCUUAGUUGUCCGUAAAAAUUAUGUUUACUUCAACUACACAUUGCAGAAUAUAUCAAUUUCACCCCAAACAGCCAAACUAGAUCUCGUUUAAAAUUUUUCAUAUAUAUAUAUCUUGUGCUCUCCGCAAACACUUACCCCCUCAGAUUUUAAAAAUAAAAAAAAUCAUGUAGAUUGUUGUAUAUAAUAUUAAAAAUAUACAAUUUUUAUUCUUAUAUAUCUCUUAAUUCCAGGAUUUAAAAUCAUAAUUUUGUUAUUAAAUAAAUUCUUGUAUUGUUUUCACAAAAAGUGAAGGCUUCUCGUAAGCAUCAUUCGCUCAUUACAGUUAAAAAGAAUUUAAUGUGCCCUUCUGUUGCUCAGUUAUGGCUCCGUCCAAAGAGACCCAAAUUAAAUUUAUAAGUGUACACAAAAUCUCUUACGCAAGUAACGUGUCAAAACUCUUGAACAAGGAACACCUCAUCAAAGAGAAAACAUAAAUAAAAAUGUACCAAAUUCUUAAAUUAGGAGGACCUCAUCCAAGAGAAGACACAAUGAGUUCUCUAGCCUAAAAAAGCAGAAACUCGACCUAGAGAUCAUGUUUAAGGUUGGUCUGGUGCUAUUUUUUUUAGUCUGCAAUUGCAAGUUGAGCGGCUUGAAAAGUUACUUAUUACUAUGCUGCACGUACCGAUUUACAAUGUGUGAUUAUGCUCAGAUUCCGCAACUAAGGCCUGUUGACUAAAUUAAUACACAAGAAGCUGGAGUCUUUAAUUAUGAUCAAACACCAUCUUCUCAUGGUUUAAUCUUCAAAACGCAUAAUUACUUCAUCUCCUACUUCGAAAUGAUAUAAUUCGGAGUCGACUAUCGAUAUAUAGUUGUGCAUAAAAUAUUUUUGCAUUAGAUUUUCUUAAUGUACAGUAGCUGAUUUUGCAAAAACGGGUUCAACGAAGGUGGGAUUCUGCGGGGCUCUCGAUUUGUUAUGUAAAUGCAAUGAUAAUGGGAUGACGUCAGGCAGUAUACAUCACUGCUUCCUGGGAAAGCUGGAACACACUGUCUAAUUAUUGUAGGGUUACGGCAAGAUAAUACUCCCUCCGUCCCAGUCAUUUGUAUACAAAUGGCUGGGACACGGAGACCAAGAAAUUGUGUAAGAAAUUAGUAAAGUUAGAUGAAAAGUGGGUAUAGUGGUGUGACCUAUUUAUAUUUAAUAAUAGAUUUGAGAUAGUGGAGGAAAGUAGUGGGUGUAAUAGUGUUUAUAUUAUUAUAGAAUGAAGAUAGUGGAGGAAAGUAGUUGGUGUAAUGAUAUUUUAUAUUAUAAAAAUUUACGACUUUUGGAAUGUAUACAAUUGAUGGGACGUCCCAAAAAGGAAACUGUAUACAAUUCACUGGGACGGAGGGAGUAGUACACUAAUAAUGCACUCCUUGAUAG